Molecule: ribosomal RNA, 404 nt
Filed under: Mycobacterium hackensackense
Lineage: Bacteria; Bacillati; Actinomycetota; Actinomycetes; Mycobacteriales; Mycobacteriaceae
Description: bacterial SSU rRNA
Rfam family: Bacterial small subunit ribosomal RNA
Source: RNAcentral
UGGGCGCAGCCUGAUGCAGCGACGCCGCGUGAGGGAUGACGGCCUUCGGGUUGUAAACCUCUUUCAGCACAGACGAAGCGCAAGUGACGGUAUGUGCAGAAGAAGGACCGGCCAACUACGUGCCAGCAGCCGCGGUAAUACGUAGGGUCCGAGCGUUGUCCGGAAUUACUGGGCGUAAAGAGCUCGUAGGUGGUUUGUCGCGUUGUUCGUGAAAACUCACAGCUUAACUGUGGGCGUGCGGGCGAUACGGGCAGACUUGAGUACUGCAGGGGAGACUGGAAUUCCUGGUGUAGCGGUGGAAUGCGCAGAUAUCAGGAGGAACACCGGUGGCGAAGGCGGGUCUCUGGGCAGUAACUGACGCUGAGGAGCGAAAGCGUGGGGAGCGAACAGGAUUAGAUACCCUG